UCCUCGAUGGUCUAGUGGUCAUGAGUAAGUCAAUCACAUCUGAGCAACUAGCAAUUGCAACAUCAGCUAACAUUCAAACAGUUUCCGCUUGUCAUCACCAGAUAACGAGCGCGGGAGACCAGGGUUCGAUUCCCUGUCGGGGAG
This is a non-coding RNA of Fonsecaea pedrosoi CBS 271.37, 144 nucleotides long. The record is from the annotation of a RefSeq genome assembly. Lineage: Eukaryota; Fungi; Ascomycota; Eurotiomycetes; Chaetothyriales; Herpotrichiellaceae.